Molecule: unclassified non-coding RNA, 299 nt
Filed under: Hevea brasiliensis (rubber tree)
Lineage: Eukaryota; Viridiplantae; Streptophyta; Magnoliopsida; Malpighiales; Euphorbiaceae
Source: RNAcentral
UCUCGUCACCUUCUUGUUCAUCCUCAUCUUGUUGAUUCUCCGGUGAUUUUAACAGUAAUGGUUCCACAAUGCCUUUUUCAAGGGAAUCAGGUUCGGCCUUAGACUCUUGAGGAACAUUUUUUAUUUCAGUAUCACGCACAGGUUCUUUAAAAGAGAACCACAGCCAUAUCAAAUAAAUGAGCCAUGCAAUAGCCAUAAGCCAACCGGGCAAAGUUUCUUUAUUGACGGUUAUCUUGUAAAUCUUAAAAUUCGUCUGAAGUAAGCCAGCAACUGCAGGCCCACAUGCCAUUCCAAGCGCG